Mercurialis annua (annual mercury) is the source of this 2409-nucleotide long non-coding RNA. RefSeq lists it as uncharacterized. Lineage: Eukaryota; Viridiplantae; Streptophyta; Magnoliopsida; Malpighiales; Euphorbiaceae. The record is from RefSeq and is a predicted model, not a curated record. The transcript has 3 exons.
UUAUUUUUCCUCCUUAUAGUUAAAUCCUCACAAAAAACGAUUAAACCUUAAUUUAUUCCUCAUAAUCUCUCAAACCCUAGCCGUCUUUCUCUAUUGAAAAAUACUAAAAUUCUCUCGUCCAAUUUCGUCAUCUUCUCUGCAUCACAUCGAAUUGAGAAUUGUUUCCUCGCUCCUGUAGUAGACAUCAUCCUCUUCAAUCCCAAAGCUUCCGAAUCAAUUUCAACUCGUCGAUUGUUCGUGCUUCAGAGGCGAACCAGGACUAGUUGCCUGGCAGGUUAUCACGUGGAUUAGCAAGUUGUGAGUUUGUACUUACUAUUUACCGCUUUAUUAAGUAAAUUGUUAUUUUAAUAUUAAAUAUAUAUAUUGUACGUAUAUUUCGAACUGUUUUUAUAUUAUGGCUCUUAGUUGGAACAUGCUACCUAAUGAGCAUCAUUAGGACUGCGUGCGCACCGUUAAUGAUCUGGGUAAGGUAUUUAUGAAAAUAUGGUAACCCGGUGUGAGCAUAGCUCUCGGGACCAAAUAGAGUAACUCGGUGUAGCACAGCUCUCGGAUAUGGCAAAAAUGUGGUCAGUGGUAAUUCGGUGUAGCUCAGCUCUCGGGACCAGGCCUAUUGGAUUAUGUUUAUUAUUUAGAAUUGUGGAUUAGGGUUCCAACUAUUAAUCGUAAUAUCGUUAUUAAAUGUUUUAAACAGUUUUAAAGGUUUUCCAGUUGAUAAAUGUAAAUAGUGGUAUAAACUCAUCUCAGUAUAUCUACCCCCGUUGUUUUCCCAAUUUUUCCCAGGGUUAUGAUUUGAGAGAGUUUGCUGAUCUCCGUUCUUUACUUUUCUCGGAGGUUUUAUUAUUUUGAUAAACUGUAAAACUAUUUUAUUCUUAGACCGCAGUAGUAACUAGACGUCUUUAUUAUUAUUACAGUUAUUUGUCGGAUUGGUCCGACUAGUUAUAUUGGUUUGGCAUGUUACAUUAGUUACACUGGUUUAUGUUAUGCCUAUUUUAGACUCAAAAUUGGAUAAGCAUGUUAUAUUAACUGAUGAAUAUUAUAACUGCUAGAAUUAGGCUGAAGUCUCGGCUGCCCCCGAGCAUUGGUUUUCUGCAGGUUUAAUUGAAUUGUAUGAUACAAUAAAGGCUAGCUACGGGUGUUGGUACUACAUUACCCAUGCCCUAGCGCCAGUCACGAUUCAUGAAAAUGGGUCGUGACAUGUGUUUUAUCAAAUUUACCAGAAGCUGGAAAUCCUUAGAAAAGAGCUUAAGGCUCUGAAUAAGAAGGAUUUUAGUGAUAUUUCUGUGAGAGUAGAUAAAGUCAGGGAUAUGCUUACUAGAUUACAAGGAGAUAUUCAGUCCCUUUUAAUAUUGACUUCCAAGAUGAAGAGAGAGCCAUUUCUAAGUAUUUCUACAAAAUGCUAAGUUGGGAAGAGAGUAUUUUAAGGCAAAAAUCCAGAAUGAUGUGGAUUAAAUUAGGAGACCAGAACUUUGAAUUAUUUUACAGAAUCAUUAAGCAAAGAUAGAACAAGAAGAGAAUUGUUAUGAUUAACAGUGCUGAAGGAGUAGCUAUUAAUGACCCUGAGCAAAUUAAAGAGGUGAUUCUUAAUCAUUAUACGAGUUUCCUUAGCUUUUCCAUGAGGGACAGAAGAAGUGUGGAUCCUAAUGUUUUCAAAGCUGGUUAUUUGCUGAAUGAGGAUGACAAAGCCAGUUUGGAUAUUACUUUCAAUGAUGAUGAGAUUAGAGCUGCUCUUUUCUGUAUUAAUGAUGAUAAGGCUCCAGGGCCUGAUGGGUUAGGGAGUGCCUUCUUUAAAAAAGGCUGAAGUAUCUUGGGUAAAGACAUUAUCCAGGCUUCCAAAGACUUUCAGAAUUCUGGUAAGAUGCUCAACCAGCUUAAUUCUAUUGCUAUUUCUUUAAUUCCUAAGAUAUAGUCUCCUAUGAAUGUUAGUGAUUAUAGACCCAUCUCUUGUUGGAAUGCGAUGUACAAAACUAUCUAUAAAGUCAUUUGUAAGAGGCUUAGCAAGAUCCUAGGGAAAAUUAUUAGUCCUAGUCAGUCUGUUUUUGUCCUUGGUAGAAACAUUUCUGAUAAUAUCCUGUUAUCUCAUGAGCUUGUUGGGAAUUACUAUAGGAAUAACUAGGGUCAUUCUUGUGCCCUGAAAAUUGAUUUACAGAAAACAUAUGAUUCCUUAAAGUGGGAUUUUAUUGAGGAGAAUUUGAUUGGUCUAAGAUUCCCUAGGAAGUUCAUUAUGAUUGUUAUGUCCUGUAUUAAGUCUGUGAAGUAUUCUGUGCAGAUUAAUGGUGAAGUUUAUGGGUUCUUUCCUAGGGGCAAGGUACUUAGACAUGAAGACCCUAUCUCUCCCAUGAUUUUUGUGUUGUGUAUGGACUAUCUGUCCAUGUCCUUUGUUAUUAACGCUAAUAGGGGGUCUGGGUUCAA